AGAGUUUGAUUCUGGCUCAGAACGAACGCUGGCGGCGUGGAUAAGACAUGCAAGUCGAACGAGAGAAUUGCUAGCUUGCUAAUAAUUCUCUAGUGGCGCACGGGUGAGUAACACGUGAGUAACCUGCCCCCAAGAGUGGGAUAGCCCCGGGAAACUGGGAUUAAUACCGCAUAAAAUCGCAAGAUUAAAGCAGCAAUGCGCUUGGGGAUGGGCUCGCGUCCUAUUAGUUAGUUGGUGAGGUAACGGCUCACCAAGGCGAUGACGGGUAGCCGGUCUGAGAGGAUGUCCGGCCACACUGGAACUGAGACACGGUCCAGACACCUACGGGUGGCAGCAGUCGAGAAUCAUUCACAAUGGGGGAAACCCUGAUGGUGCGACGCCGCGUGGGGGAAUGAAGGUCUUCGGAUUGUAAACCCCUGUCAUGUGGGAGCAAAUUAAAAAGAUAGUACCACAAGAGGAAGAGACGGCUAACUCUGUGCCAGCAGCCGCGGUAAUACAGAGGUCUCAAGCGUUGUUCGGAAUCACUGGGCGUAAAGCGUGCGUAGGCGGUUUCGUAAGUCGUGUGUGAAAGGCGGGGGCUCAACCCCCGGACUGCACAUGAUACUGCGAGACUAGAGUAAUGGAGGGGGAACCGGAAUUCUCGGUGUAGCAGUGAAAUGCGUAGAUAUCGAGAGGAACACUCGUGGCGAAGGCGGGUUCCUGGACAUUAACUGACGCUGAGGCACGAAGGCCAGGGGAGCGAAAGGGAUUAGAUACCCCUGUAGUCCUGGCAGUAAACGGUGCACGCUUGGUGUGCGGGGAAUCGACCCCCUGCGUGCCGGAGCUAACGCGUUAAGCGUGCCGCCUGGGGAGUACGGUCGCAAGAUUAAAACUCAAAGAAAUUGACGGGGACCCGCACAAGCGGUGGAGUAUGUGGCUUAAUUCGAUGCAACGCGAAGAACCUUACCUGGGCUUGACAU
RNAcentral lists this ribosomal RNA (959 nucleotides) under human gut metagenome. RNAcentral describes it as "bacterial SSU rRNA". It matches the Rfam family "Bacterial small subunit ribosomal RNA", at positions 8 to 987 of the family's 1533-position model. The record is from RNAcentral.